CCUUAAACGCCAUAGUUUUGGAUACAGGUCCAUGGGGUGAGAUCGCUGACUGACAGAAGGAAGCUGUUCUCUGGGGUGUGCGUGACCCAAAGACCAAUGGAGGGAGGAAGAAUAGAUGCUCCAAAUGGCCACUGCACUUCUCCAAUGUCUGAAGCCACCUGCAAAUGAUUGCUAGUCACUGCCUGCACUGAGACGGAUUCUGAGGCCAAGUCGAGGCUUAGCAGGAAAGAAUACUGUGACCUACACGCCUUCUCAGCCAAACGCACAGAACAGGAAUGGCCACAUAUGUGCUCGUGUCAGCCAGUGUUCCUGGGGGCUUGUCCACGGGCAGAUUCCUUCAUAAUCCCUUGGGAUGCUUGCAAUAAUUCCAUCUCCGAGCCCUCACCCUCACCCUCUCAAGGUUUACUGAAUUAAAAUCUUUGGGCGUGGACCCUGGAAAUCUGCAGUUGUCUCGACUUUUUGUGGAAUUUUGAUGUAGAGUCAGCUUUGGAAACCACCUAGGAGCCUGUAGGCUCCUGCACGGGCACUGCAGCAAGGUAGCAGCAAAGGUGGGCUGUCUUUACCACCAAGACCGGGUAAAUUAGGGAUAAUAAUAACACCUGCCUCAUAAGGAUGGUGGAAAAAUUAAAGGAGAUUUUACAUAAUAAGCACUCAACAAAUAUUAGCUUUUAUUAUGUUAUCUUCUUCUAAGAGUCUGUAAGAGG
Molecule: long non-coding RNA, 704 nt
Filed under: Homo sapiens (human)
Lineage: Eukaryota; Metazoa; Chordata; Mammalia; Primates; Hominidae
Description: HSALNT0024296
Source: RNAcentral